GAGGGUAUAGCUCAGUGGUAGAGUGCAUGCCUAGCAUGCAGGAGGUCUUGGGUUCAAUUCCCAGUACCUCG
Molecule: transfer RNA, 71 nt
Filed under: Camelus bactrianus (Bactrian camel)
Lineage: Eukaryota; Metazoa; Chordata; Mammalia; Artiodactyla; Camelidae
Also listed under: 2 other names
Rfam family: tRNA
About the family: Transfer RNA (tRNA) molecules are approximately 80 nucleotides in length. Their secondary structure includes four short double-helical elements and three loops (D, anti-codon, and T loops).
Source: Rfam by way of RNAcentral